CCUACGGGUGGCAGCAGUGAGGAAUAUUGGUCAAUGGACGCAAGUCUGAACCAGCCAUGUCGCGUGCAGGAUGACUGCUCUAUGAGUUGUAAACUUCUUUUGUACGAGGGUAAAUCCCGGUACGUGUAUCUGUUUGAAAGUAUCUUAUGAAUAAGGAUCGGCUAACUCCGUGCCAGCAGCCGCGGUAAUACGGAGGAUUCAAGCGUUAUCCGGAUUUAUUGGGUUUAAAGGGUUCGUAGGCGGUUUGAUAAGUUAGAGGUGAAAGUCCGGGGCUCAACUCCGACACUGCCAUUGAUACUGGCAGUCUAGAGUAUAGUUGCGGUAGGCGGAAUGUAUGGUGUAGCGGUGAAAUGCAUAGAGAUCAUAAAGAACACCGAUUGCGAAGGCAGCUUACCAAACUACGACUGACGUUGAGGCACGAAAGCGUGGGGAGCAAACAGGAUUAGAUACCCUAGUAGUC
RNAcentral lists this ribosomal RNA (460 nucleotides) under uncultured bacterium. RNAcentral's name for it is "partial 16S ribosomal RNA". It matches the Rfam family "Bacterial small subunit ribosomal RNA", at positions 338 to 795 of the family's 1533-position model. The record is from RNAcentral.